This 1083-nucleotide ribosomal RNA is filed under the name uncultured bacterium. RNAcentral's name for it is "bacterial SSU rRNA". It matches the Rfam family "Bacterial small subunit ribosomal RNA", at positions 37 to 1137 of the family's 1533-position model. The record is from RNAcentral.
CGGUGGGGUGCCUACACAUGCAGUCGAGCGGAGAUGAAGAAGUUUACUUUGGAUUCUUAGCGGCGGACGGGUGAGUAACGCGUGGGCAACCUACCCUGUACAGGGGGAUAACAAUGGGAAACCAUUGCUAAUACCCCAUGACGCCUUUUGGGGGCAUCCCCAAAAGGUCAAAGAACUUCGGUACAGGAUGGGCCCGCGUCUGAUUAGCUAGUUGGUGAGGUAAUGGCUCACCAAGGCGACGAUCAGUAGCCGGCCUGAGAGGGUGAACGGCCACACUGGAACUGAGACACGGUCCAGACUCCUACGGGAGGCAGCAGUGGGGAAUAUUGCACAAUGGGGGAAACCCUGAUGCAGCAACGCCGCGUGAGCGAUGAAGGCCUUCGGGUCGUAAAGCUCUGUCCUAAGGGAAGAUAAUGACGGUACCUUAGGAGGAAGCCCCGGCUAACUACGUGCCAGCAGCCGCGGUAAUACGUAGGGGGCAAGCGUUAUCCGGAAUCAUUGGGCGUAAAGGGUGCGUAGGCUGCCCUAUAGGUCAGAGGUCAAAGGCUACGGCUCAACCGUAGUAAGCCUUUGAAACUGUAGGGCUUGAGUGCAGGAGAGGAGAGUGGAAUUCCUAGUGUAGCGGUGAAAUGCGUAGAUAUUAGGAGGAACACCAGUGGCGAAGGCGACUCUCUGGACUGCAACUGACGCUGAGGCACGAAAGCGUGGGUAGCGAACAGGAUUAGAUACCCUGGUAGUCCACGCCGUAAACGAUGAGUGCUAGGUGUUGGGGGUCGAACCUAGGUGCCGAAGUUAACGCAUUAAGCACUCCGCCUGGGGAGUACGUACGCAAGUAUGAAACUCAAAGGAAUUGACGGGGACCCGCACAAGCAGCGGAGCAUGUGGUUUAAUUCGAAGCAACGCGAAGAACCUUACCUGGACUUGACAUCCCUCUGACCGAUUCUUAACCGAAUCCCUUCCCUUCGGGGACAGAGGAGACAGGUGGUGCAUGGGUUGUCGUCAGCUCGUGUCGUGAGAUGUUGGGGUUAAGUCCCGCAACGAGCGCAACCCCUUGUCUUUAGUGGCCAUCAUUAAGGUUGGGCA